This 1252-nucleotide ribosomal RNA is filed under the name metagenome. RNAcentral describes it as "SSU rRNA". It matches the Rfam family "Eukaryotic small subunit ribosomal RNA", at positions 518 to 1793 of the family's 1831-position model. The record is from RNAcentral.
GUUCAAUUUAAAAUCCUUAACGAGGAACAAUUGGAGGGCAAGUCUGGUGCCAGCAGCCGCGGUAAUUCCAGCUCCAAUAGCGUAUAUUUAUGUUGUUGCAGUUGAAACGCUCGUAGUUGGAUUUCAGGAUGGAACGACUGGUCUGCCACUUUGUGGUGUGUACCGGUUUGUCUGUUCUUUUAUUUGAGGAUGCAUUCUGUCCUUUACUGGAUGGUUUGUGGACUCAAAUCUUUUAGUUUGAAAAAAUUAGAGUGUUUAAAGCAGGCGUUAUGCCUUGAAUACAUUAGCAUGGAAUAAUGAAAUAGGACUUUGGUUCUAUUUUGUUGGUUUCUAGAACUAAAGUAAUGAUUAAUAGGGGCAGUUGGGGGCAUUAAUAUUUAAUUGUCAGAGGUGAAAUUCUUGGAUUUAUGAAAGAUUAACUACUGCGAAAGCAUUUGUCAAGGAUGUUUUCAUUAAUCAAGAACGAAAGCGUGGGGAUCGAAGAUGAUCAGAUACCGUCGUAGUCCACGCCCGAACCGAUGCCAUCUAGGAAUUGGUGAAUGUUCAUUUAUGACUUCAUCAGCGUCUUCCGAGAAAUCAAAGAUUUUGGGUUCUGGGGGGAGUAUGGUCGCAAGGCUGAAACUUAAAGGAAUUGACGGAAGGGCACCACCAGGAUUGGAGCCUGCGGCUUAAUUUGACCCAACACGGGAAAACUUACCAGGUCCAGACAUAGUAAGGAUUGACAGAUUGAGAGCUCUUUCUUGAUUCUAUGCGUGGUGGUGCAUGGCCGUUCUUAGUUGGUGGAUUGAUUUGUCUGCUUAAUUGCGAUAACGAACGAGACCUUAACCUACUAAAUAGCUACGCGAACCCUAGGUUCGUGGCCAGCUUCUUAGAGGGACUAUAUAAGACAAUUAUAUGGAAGUUUGAGGCAAUAACAGGUCUGUGAUGCCCUUAGAUGUUCUGGGCCGCACGCGCGCUACACUGACGAAUUCAACAAGUUUUAACCUUGACCGAUAGGUCUGGGUAAUCUUUUAAAAGUUCGUCGUGCUGGGGAUUGACAAUUGCAAUUUUUUGUCAUGAACGAGGAAUUCCUAGUAAGCGCGAGUCAUCAGCUCGCGUUGAUUACGUCCCUGCCCUUUGUACACACCGCCCGUCGCUCCUACCGAUUGGAUGGUCCGGUGAAGUCUUCGGACCAUUGCGGCAACUGGUUCGCCAGUAGCUCUGUAGUGGGAAGUUGAUUUAACCUUAUCAUCUAGAGGAAGGAAAAGUCGUA